UGGGUGAUCUGCCUUGCACUUCGGGAUAAGCCUGGGAAACUGGGUCUAAUACCGGAUAUGACCACGGAAUGCAUGUUCUGUGGUGGAAAGAUUUAUCGGUGCGAGAUGGGCCCGCGGCCUAUCAGCUUGUUGGUGAGGUAACGGCUCACCAAGGCGACGACGGGUAGCCGACCUGAGAGGGUGACCGGCCACACUGGGACUGAGACACGGCCCAGACUCCUACGGGAGGCAGCAGUGGGGAAUAUUGCACAAUGGGGCGCAAGCCUGAUGCAGCGACGCCGCGUGCGGGGAUGACCGGCCUUCGGGUUGUAAACCGCUUUUGACAGGGACGAAGCGCAAGUGACUGUACCUGUA
RNAcentral lists this ribosomal RNA (354 nucleotides) under Nocardia sp. 177-4.2-CV-H26(h)-12. RNAcentral describes it as "bacterial SSU rRNA". It matches the Rfam family "Bacterial small subunit ribosomal RNA", at positions 118 to 483 of the family's 1533-position model. Lineage: Bacteria; Bacillati; Actinomycetota; Actinomycetes; Mycobacteriales; Nocardiaceae. The record is from RNAcentral.